Molecule: RNA transcript, 1181 nt
Organism: Chenopodium quinoa (quinoa)
Lineage: Eukaryota; Viridiplantae; Streptophyta; Magnoliopsida; Caryophyllales; Amaranthaceae
Gene name: glutathione S-transferase 2-like
Exons: 12
Source: RefSeq, a predicted model, not a curated record
GUUAUAGUCACUGACUACAAAUGCUGAGGCCAUAGUUAGUCAAUCUCGCAUAUCAGUUGCAUAAUCUCCCAACUCAUCAUGGCGAAUACAGAAGAAAGAGAAAAACCAAAAUUGAAGCUCUACUCCUAUUGGAUGAGUUCUUGCGCCUGGCGUGUCCGUAUUGCGCUCAAUUUGAAAGGGUUGGAUUAUGAGUACAAAACUGUGAAUUUGCUAAAAGGAGAUCAAUUUAGUGACGAGUUUCAAAAAUUGAAUCCUCUUGGUUAUGUGCCGGUGUUGGUGGAUGAGGAUAUAGUGACUGCGGAUUCAUUUGCUAUCAUAAUGUAUCUAGAAGAGAAGUACCCACAACAUCUGUUGUUGCCCCAGAAUCUUCAGAAAAGAGCUAUCAAUUACCAGGCUGCAAAUAUUGUGGCUUCAAACAUACAACCUUUCCAGAACUUAGCUGUAGCGAAUUAUAUUGAAGAAAAACUUGGUUCUGAUGAAAGGCUUUCUUGGGUGCAACAUCAUAUCAAAAAAGGCUUUGCUGCAUUAGAGAAGCUAUUAACUGGACACACUGGCAAAUAUGCUACUGGGGAUGAAGUUGCCUUGGCAGACUUGUUCCUAGCUCCCCAAAUUGCAGGAGCAGUUAAGAGAUUCAACAUAAACAUGGCCGAGUUCCCAUUAUUAGAGAAGUUAAAUGGUGCUUAUUCUGAACUACCAGCGUUUCAGAGCGCUGAGCCAGGAAAACAACCAGAUGCCCCAGAUAAUGCCAAAUCCUAGUAGGCUGACGUGCAGUACCGGCCGUGGAUCGGGUUGGUUGUCCCUGGGUUAGCCGCGCAGUAUACCGCUGAGCGUCGCUAUUUCUUAGGGACAUAUGGAGCAGUUGCAUAUCAUGGAGAGAGGGUUGCUAUUCACCAUUCCUCGGACACUUUCGUCGUUCCUGCUCCUGCGCCGCGUCACAUGUUCAAUGGCGCGAGGUUGGUGAGCAUGUCAGAGAGAGCUGGUACCCCUUGGCGAUCUUAUACGAUCCAUGGGCGGUGCUAUGAAGAGGAGCUACUGUCGUUGUUAGCUCCAGUCCCUGUACUGGCUGAGGAAGUGGCGGCUGGACCUACUAAGUUUGUGCCACCUCGUAUGUCCAUCCAUUAUCAGGGGACAUACGGGUCGAUCGAGGACAUAAUUCCUCCGGCUCCUGAGGGUGAGCGCUU